GUGGACGCCAGUCUGCGUGGAGCCGACCUUGAAAUACCACCCUUUAAUGUUUGAUGUUCUAACGUGGACCCGUGAUCCGGGUUGCGGACAGUGUCUGGUGGGUAGUUUGACUGGGGCGGUCUCCUCCUAAAGAGUAACGGAGGAGCACGAAGGUUGGCUAAUCCUGGUCGGACAUCAGGAGGUUAGUGCAAUGGCAUAAGCCAGCUUGACUGCGAGCGUGACGGCGCGAGCAGGUGCGAAAGCAGGUCAUAGUGAUCCGGUGGUUCUGAAUGGAAGGGCCAUCGCUCAACGGAUAAAAGGUACUCCGGGGAUAACAGGCUGAUACCGCCCAAGAGUUCAUAUCGACGGCGGUGUUUGGCACCUCGAUGUCGGCUCAUCACAUCCUGGGGCUGAAGUAGGUCCCAAGGGUAUGGCUGUUCGCCAUUUAAAGUGGUACGCGAGCUGGGUUUAGAACGUCGUGAGACAGUUCGGUCCCUAUCUGCCGUGGGCGCUGGAGAACUGAGGGGGGCUGCUCCUAGUACGAGAGGACCGGAGUGGACGCAUCACUGGUGUUCGGGUUGUCAUGCCAAUGGCACUGCCCGGUAGCUAAAUGCGGAAGAGAUAAGUGCUGAAAGCAUCUAAGCACGAAACUUGCCCCGAGAUGAGUUCUCCCUGAGACUUAGAGUCUCCUGAAGGAACGUUGAAGACGACGACGUUGAUAGGCCGGGUGUGUAAGCGCAGCGAUGCGUUGAGCUAACCGGUACUAAUGAACCGUGAGGCUUAACCUUACA
This 770-nucleotide ribosomal RNA is filed under the name Salmonella enterica. RNAcentral describes it as "partial 23S ribosomal RNA". It matches the Rfam family "Bacterial large subunit ribosomal RNA", at positions 2164 to 2925 of the family's 2925-position model. Lineage: Bacteria; Pseudomonadati; Pseudomonadota; Gammaproteobacteria; Enterobacterales; Enterobacteriaceae. The record is from RNAcentral.